This is a long non-coding RNA of Chelonia mydas (Green sea turtle), 2009 nucleotides long. RefSeq lists it as uncharacterized. The record is from RefSeq and is a predicted model, not a curated record. The transcript is spliced from 4 exons. NCBI's taxonomy places the organism in Eukaryota, Metazoa, Chordata, Testudines, Cheloniidae.
GACUAGAAGAUUUGACCCUCCAACAUUCUUUCAAGAGGAAAAGCUGCCCAGAGCUCCUGUACCUGUUUAUUAUCCUUUUCUGCCUGCAGUGGCCUGGAUAUACCGCGUUUGAAUAUGGUGUAUAGUUGAGACUGGAUUGCUCUUGUGUCCACCGGUAGGAGCCAAUGAAUGGGACAAGUUUCUGGCUUUCACACUGCAGAAUGAGUGCCAUCACAAAUGAAGUUGUAGUCUGGGAAAGGACGAUUACUUUGAACAGUGGGAAUGCUGAGCUUGUUGGAGCCUGCCACAUUUGCAAAACAUUUCAAGAAUCACUACGUUUGGAAGGCAGUACUUUGAAGAAAGAAAUUAAUGUUGUGCAAGCAGAGGAGUCUGAAAUUGUGAUGUUCUCUAGGAAAAAAUGCUUUCAGUGGUCGUAUAUUCAAGAUUAACAGUUUUGAAGAUGGCGAUGUCCACAAUUUCAGAGGUAACACUCUGUCCCACUCACUGUUCCACCCACGUGUCACAGAAAAAGGACCUAAUCCUGGAGUCCUAAUGCAGUCAAAACCCACGCUGACAUCUGUUAUGUGGAAAGCUUGGACCCGGUUAACAGGAAGGACCUGGCCUUCCAAGUCUUCAGCCACAGCCACACCUGUUGCCUUGGAACAGCAUUAGAGACUCGUGAAGGGGAGGCAGACUGGCAGAGCUGGAGACUAAUACUGAAGUAAGAGACAUCUUCUGGCGAAUGGAUUCCGAAUGGCAAAAAUAGAUGGAAAAACAAGUGGAAGCUACUGAUAUCUUGUGAGUAUCUGCUGAUGUUCCAUAGUUUCUGUGGAGUGAGGAUUCAGAUUUCUUAUCUGUCAGUUCCUGCAGAAGAAAUAACCUCUGAAGAAAUAACAAGAUCACUGACUGGGAGGCCACUGCUGCAUCAGGAUUCUUCAAGCAGCAUGCUGUACUUGAUUUAAUCCUUUAGCCUGAAGAGAAUUUUUAACACUCUGUGCAUAUCACGUUGGGUGUUCCCUCCUCUGUUGAGCUCACUGGAGUGGAAAGCAGAGUUCUUUCUUGGAGUCAGUAGGAAAUAUCUGCACACGGGGACUUUAGCUACUUCUCACUCUGUUGGGGAUGAAUAUUCAGAGUGUUUAUCACCCUUUAAAAAGAAAACUCGGGUAGAAACCAUCUUUCUUGUGUCUCUUUGAGGUGCUUCAGGAUGGGAAACCAAUAGUUCCUCUUCACUGGGGGGAUUAGAAACUGGAUGAUAAGUUGUCAUGUCUAAUUUUGUAUUUUUGUCUCUCUAAUUGGAUAAUUUCUUCCUGUGUGGACUGCUAGGGGAAGACUCUGAGGAGGAUGGGAAAUCUGAGAGACCUCUUUAAUGUGUUCUGUGAAAUUCAUUACAAAUAACAUCUUCAUUGGAGAGCUUAAUGUGCUUCCACAUUUGUUUCUCUUUGUAUCAGGAAAGAUUUCUGAGUUUUUUAACUUUAGAGACAACCAUCCCUGCUUUGGUGCUCUUCUGUGGACUAAAUCUCUAUUUAUGAAGGACUGUGUCUGAUAGGGCCUGACUCUGGGUCAUAGGGGAGACCAAAGAGAAUAGUCUACUCACUCCUCUGCAUUAUAAGUACAUCAAAGACAUUUUAAAAUCAUGGACCAAAUUUUAUCAUGAGUAAUACUCUAAGCAACCUCAUUGACUUCAAACCUAAGGUAUAAUAAAGUUAUAAUUUUUAUUAUUGUAGUAUAUACCUGAGCAGAGCUGUGGAGUUAUCUUCAACAUGUUUACUGGAAUUGUUAAGGGCAGAUGAUGGUCAUUAGUGUGAGGGAGAGGGUUAAUAUAACAUAAUAUUCAUGCAUGUUUGUAUUACAAAGAAAUUAGAGUGAGCUGAAGCUGGUAUCGGAAAGGCAAUGUGUUUUACUUAUUAGUGAACAGACUUCCCACAAAUGAAACACCAUCUUGGGUCGCAAUCCUGCAAGGAGCUCUACAUGAGCAGACCCCAGAACCUGCAUAAAGUCCCAGGCUGAAAUCUUGGCACAGCUGGAUUCAA